GAUGAACGCUGGCGGCGUGCCUAAUACAUGCAAGUCGAGCGAACAGAUGAGGAGCUUGCUCCUCUGACGUUAGCGGCGGACGGGUGAGUAACACGUGGAUAACCUACCUAUAAGACUGGGAUAACUUCGGGAAACCGGAGCUAAUACCGGAUAAUAUAUUGAACCGCAUGGUUCAAUAGUGAAAGACGGUUUUGCUGUCCCUUAUAGAUGGAUCCGCGCCGCAUUAGCUAGUUGGUAAGGUAACGGCUUACCAAGGCAACGAUGCGUAGCCGACCUGAGAGGGUGAUCGGCCACACUGGAACUGAGACACGGUCCAGACUCCUACGGGAGGCAGCAGUAGGGAAUCGUCCGCAAUGGGCGAAAGCCUGACGGAGCAACGCCGCGUGAGUGAUGAAGGUCUUCGGAUCGUAAAACUCUGUUAUUAGGGAAGAACAAAUGUGUAAGUAACUAUGCACGUCUUGACGGUACCUAAUCAGAAAGCCACGGCUAACUACGUG
This 497-nucleotide ribosomal RNA is filed under the name uncultured bacterium. RNAcentral's name for it is "partial 16S ribosomal RNA". It matches the Rfam family "Bacterial small subunit ribosomal RNA", at positions 28 to 507 of the family's 1533-position model. The record is from RNAcentral.